RNAcentral lists this long non-coding RNA (390 nucleotides) under Zonotrichia albicollis (white-throated sparrow). RNAcentral describes it as "lncRNA (ENSZALG00000017102.1)". The record is from RNAcentral. Lineage: Eukaryota; Metazoa; Chordata; Aves; Passeriformes; Passerellidae.
AAGACUUUUUUUCUUUCUUUUUUACUCCUUAAGUACUCUUAAUGGGAAUAAAUGGUUUAUCUUUUCAGAUCUGUGUAUUACUGCAGAAGCAUCCCACUGGGAAAAGGCUGCAUAAGUUCUGGCCACCGUGUAAAUCCCACGCUGACGACUCACUUGGAAAGAAGAAAAGACACAAAAUGUUGUGCUGGCUCUCUAAGUGAAGGAAAGUUGAUGCUUGGAAGAACCUCAGCUAAAACUCCCAAAGAGGAGACCUUCCCAAUUUUAACAGGAAAGUGCAUAGGAAUGGAGAUCAAUUUAAGCUGUGCUGUGCAAAGAGGGGAGAAAUCUGGUGAUGGUCCUACAAAUGUCACUGACAAGGAAAAGAGAAGGCUAAAGGCUCUGCUGGAGUGA